Molecule: ribosomal RNA, 497 nt
Filed under: uncultured bacterium
Lineage: Bacteria
Description: partial 16S ribosomal RNA
Rfam family: Bacterial small subunit ribosomal RNA
Source: RNAcentral
GAUGAACGCUGGCAGCGUGCCUAAUACAUGCAAGUCGAGCGAACGGACGAGAAGCUUGCUUCUCUGAUGUUAGCGGCGGACGGGUGAGUAACACGUGGAUAACCUACCUAUAAGACUGGGAUAACUUCGGGAAACCGGAGCUAAUACCGGAUAAUAUUUUGAACCGCAUGGUUCAAAAGUAAAAGACGGUCUUGCUGUCACUUAUAGAUGGAUCCGCGCUGCAUUAGCUAGUUGGUAAGGUAACGGCUUACCAAGGCAACGAUGCAUAGCCGACCUGAGAGGGUGAUCGGCCACACUGGAACUGAGACACGGUCCAGACUCCUACGGGAGGCAGCAGUAGGGAAUCUUCCGCAAUGGGCGAAAGCCUGACGGAGCAACGCCGCGUGAGUGAUGAAGGUCUUCGGAUCGUAAAACUCUGUUAUUAGGGAAGAACAUAUGUGUAAGUAACUGUGCACAUCUUGACGGUACCUAAUCAGAAAGCCACGGCUAACUACGUG